GAGUUCGACAUGACUGAUCUUGGGAGGAUGAGGUAUUUCUUGGGCAUUGAGGUGCAUCAGAAGGUGAAUGGAAUUCACAUAUCUCAAGCCAAGUACGCUCAGGAGAUUCUCAAACGGUUCGACAUGGAGGAUUGCAACUCAGUUACAAAUCCUAUGGUACCUGGAGAGAAGCUUGACAUGGACGCUGAAGGAGAAAGAAUAGACGAGACACUCUAUAAGCAAAUGAUUGGGAGUCUCAUGUACAUCACAACCACACGACCUGACCUGCAAUUCUCGGUGAACUUACUCAGUCGCUUCAUGUCAAAACCUACAAGACUCCACGCACAAGCUGUGAAGAAGGUACUGAGGUACUUAAAGGGGACAACAGACUUUGGUAUUUGGUACAAUGGAGGAGGAACAGGGGAGCUAUGUGUCUACACUGACAGCGACUUUGCUGGAGAUAUCGAUAGCAGAAAGAGUACCUCAGGGUAUGUUUUUCUUUUGGAUAAUGGGGCAGUUGCAUGGUGUUCUAAGAAGCAGCCAAUAGUUACUUUGUCCACGACUGAAGCCGAGUAUGUGGCGGCAUCAGUUUGCGCAUGUCAAGCUAUUUGGUUCAAAAGAGUUAUGAAGGAGUUGGGACAUGAGAUGAACGAGAGCACCAUUAUUCAAUGCGACAACACGUCAACAAUUAAGUUAUCUAAGAACCCUGUAUUUCAUGGGCGUUGCAAGCAUAUUGGUGUCAGGUUUCAUUUCUUACGUGAUCUGGUAAAUGAAGGAGAGAUAAGCUUGGAACAUUGCGGUACUGAAGAACAAGUUGCUGAUGUAUUCACAAAGGCAUUAAAGAGGGAAGUGUUCGAGAAGAUGAGAAGCAGACUUGGAGUCUGCUCAGUCAAGGAUAAGCUGAAUCUUGAAGACCAAGUUUAGCUUAGGGAGGGUUUGUUGGAGCAAAACUACCAUUUGAAGUUUGGAGCCGUUGGAGGUUUGAUUUAGUCUUUCACGUUUGUUAGUUGUUUCAAUAAUGUCCUAUUCUUUAGGACCAAGUAGUUUCCAGUUCUAGUGGUUUAGUUGCGUUAGUUGUUGCUUUAUUUCAGGAGCUCUUUAUUUCAUUGUAAUGCUACUUAUAGCUAUUGCUUUCAGUUGAAUACAAUCAGAGUUUCAUAAACACAAAACAGAGCAUUUGGGAUUACAAAUCUUUCAUGGGUUGGCUCUGUAAAUAAUCAAAUUUUUUUAUAAAAAAAUGCGUUGACAUGCGCAGACCUGCUGUACAAGGACCACAACAGCGACCAGAAAUUGAGUAUCACCACUCACUCUCCUGCCGGUGUUGUAAGUUUCUAUUCAACUACGCUUCCUUUUUAGCAGUUGCAUUCUUACUAAUGAUAAUAGAGUAUGAGCUCUUCUUUAAUAUAUGCGUGUCUGUGUUCUUACUCUUUUUUUGUUUUAUUGAUUAGCUUUAUUUCUUUACCUCUGUUACAAUCUUUAGGCCAUCACAUCAACUGGAACCAAGAAAGGUGAAUCACUCUUGGGAGAUGUAGCUUUCCAACUCACGCAAAAAAACAUCACCACCCAUUUCAAAGUUUCCACUGACAACACCGUAUGCCUUUUUCUACCAAAUACAUUCUUCCUUUUAGCUCAUCUGAGUAUCUUAACUAUUCUUCUAUUAUUUGUUUCAGGUUUUGAUCACUGCUACCGUUGAUGAGGCUGCCCCUGGAUUGAAGUCCAUCUUCAGCUUCAGGGCCCCUGACCAAAACUCCGGCAAGGUAGGCCUUUCUUCUUCUCUUUUCAACCCCAAUCCAUCUACACUUGUUCUAUUUUUGCUGAUCAUUCUUACUUUCUUUCAUACAGAUUGAGCUUCAGUAUUUACAUGACUACGCUGGUAUCAGCACCAGCAUGGGAUUGACUCAGAACCCCACUGUCAACUUCUCCGGUGUUAUUGGGAACAAUGCCUUGGCUGUUGGUACUGACGUUUCCUUGGACACCAAAUCCGGCAAUUUCACCAAGAUCAAUGCUGGCCUCAACUUCACCAAGGAUGAUUUAAUUGCUUCCCUUACCCUGUAAGUCAAUGAAUUCCUGUGGAUGAAAGAUGUGGUUCUUAUCAGUCUUGUUUGUUCAGGAACGACAAAGGAGAUUCCGUCAACGCCUCAUACUACCACAUUGUUAACCCGCUGUUCAACACUGCUGUUGGAGCUGAAGUGAACCACAAAUUCUCUACCAAGGUCAAUACGAUAACCGUGGGAACGCAGCAUUCGAUUGACCCCUUAACCAUAGUGAAAGCACGUGUGAACAGUGCGGGGAUAGCCAAUGCACUCAUUCAACACGAGUGGUCGCCCAAGUCCUUCUUCACAGUCUCUGGAGAAGUUGACACUAAGGCCAUCGACAAGAGUGCUAAGGUUGGAUUGGCUCUCUCUCUCAAGCCUUGAUAAUGAGCCAUCCCAAGUAGUAGUUUAUUUAUACUCCCUCUUGCUUGGUUUUAAUGGCGGGCUACUUGCUAAUCUUUUUUCCCCCAUUUUCUUGUUGGAUUUGUAGAAGAGAAUAAUAAUAAGGUUGACAGAAAAGAUGGUUUGUUUUGGUGAUAUGAUGAAGCACUAAACGAUCUUUAUGUUUCUUUACUAUGCACUGUGUUUCCUUCUACUCUGAUGUUACCCUUUUAACAUGUUUAAUCUUCUUUGUUGUUCGGCAUUUUAUUCGAUAUCUAUCAGUUUAGCUCUUCCUUUGAUGUUGUUUCUUUUACGAUUGAGUAAUGUGAUAGCUGAUUUGGUGGCAAAAUCAGCUCUCUCAUUGUUUAACUCCUCAUGGAGUGUAGACUCUCUUAUGUUAUGAAAUGAAGUGCGUUUGAUCAAAAAAAAAAAAAAAAGGGGAAUAACAAGAAGAUGGAGGUUGUUGGGAAAGGGAACACCAAACUGAUGUUGAACGGAGCAAACUACGUAAUAAGUGACGUGUAUUACGUACCAGAACUCAAAAAUAACCUCUUGAGUCUUGGACAGCUUCAAGAAAAACGGAUCACAAUCAUCAUUCAAAAAGGCUACUGCAAAAUCUAUCAUGAAGAGAGGGGUUUGAUAGCUGAGAGUAGGAUGAGCUCAAACCGUAUGUUUGCACUAGCUGAUCAAGGAAGAGGUGAUUCAAACUCAAGUGAACAGAGGUGCCUGAAGACAACUUCUGAAGAUGUGCCAAAAUUAUGGCAUGAGCGUUAUGGCCACUUAAGUCACCGAGGAAUUAAAGCACUACAGAGCAAAGGCAUGGUGAGGGGUCUACCAGACUUUGGGGUUCAGAGCUUUACGUGUCCAGACUGUCUGGUGGGGAAGCAACCAAGAAAGGCCAUACCGAAGAAGAGUACAUGGAGAGCAAAAGAGGCAUUGGAACUAAUCCACUCGGAUAUCUGUGGUCCAAUCAAUCCCACUUCCAACAGUGGAAUGAGGUACAUUCUAUGUUUCAUAGACGACUAUAGCAGAAAGGGUUGGGUGUAUCUACUGAAGAAUAAGUCUGAUGCCUUCACUGAGUUCAAAACGUUCAAGAAGAUGGUAGAAACUGAGACCGGGAAGGUGAUCAAAGGCUUAAGGACAGACAGGGGAGGAGAAUACACCUCACUAGAGUUCUCAGACUACUGCAAGGAGCACGGAAUCAGACGCCAACUGACCACAUCCUACACUCCUCAACAGAACGGCAUAGCCGAGAGAAAGAACCGCACUGUCAUGAACAUGGUGAGGUCAAUGUUUUCUAACAAGAAGAUGCCAAAGAUCUUAUGGCCCAAGGCUGUGAAGUGGACUUUCUAUGUUCUCAACAGGUGCCCCACUAUAGCCGUGAAAAACGUCACACCACAAGAGGCAUGGAGCGGGAUGAAGCCGAGUGUGGAACACUUCAGAGUCUGGGGAUGCAUUGCACAUGUCCACAUUCCUGAUCAGAAACGAAGCAAGCUCGAUGAUAAGAGCACACCAUGUGUUCUACUUGGAUACUCUGAAGAAUCCAAAGCCUACAGACUGUACAAUCCAAAGACUAAGAAGAUGAUGACAAGUCGAGAUGUGGUGUUUGAGGAAACAAAAGAAUGGGAUUGGAACGAGGAUCAAGAUCAUCUCACGGAAGGAUCGUUAACAUGGAAUGGAGAUGAUGUGGAUUGGGAAGAAAGUGAUGAAGAAGACAACAAUGGAGAGGUGGAAGAUAACAACAACGAGACUGAGCAGCCUGUAGAAGACGCAGUAGAGAAUCAAGAAGAACAUACUGCAGAGAUCAGGGAGGGCAGAGCCAGAAGACCUCCAAGCUACUUAAAAGACUAUGUGCACUGCAUUGAAACCAUUGAUAAUGAAGAAGAAGUGGUCAACAUGGUGGAGAUAAAUGCAACAGAUCCUGUAAACUUUGAGGAAGCAGAAAAAAACUUGAAGUGGAGAGAUGCGAUGACAGAAGAGAUAAACUCCAUUGAGAAGAAUCAGACGUGGGAGCUGUGCACGUUACCUAAUGGAGCCAAGUGCAUAGGCGUGAAGUGGAUUUACAAAACCAAGCUGAAAGAGCUCGGAGAAAUUAUUAAGCAUAAGGCGAGGCUGGUAGCUAAGGGAUAUUCUCAGGAGCUUGGAAUCGAUUACACUGAAGUAUAUGCUCCCGUUGCACGCAUGGACACCAUUAGAACCAUUCUAGCCACUGCAGCUCAGAAGUCAUGGAUCGUGUACCAGCUCGACGUCAAGUCAGCAUUUCUUCACGGAAUCCUCACUGAAGAUGUCUUCAUACAACAACCUAAAGGGUACGUAGUGGAGGGACAUGAAGACAGCGUCUACAAGCUUCACAAGGCAUUGUAUGGUCUGAAGCAAGCUCCAAGGGCCUGGUUUAGUCGCAUUGAAGAAUACUUUCUGAAAGCUGGCUUCGCAAAGUCACAGAACGAGGAGACAUUGUUUCUCAAGGUCGACAAUCAAGGUAAUAUCCUGAUUGUGAGUGUGUACGUUGAUGACCUUAUUUACACAGGAAGCAGUCUUGAGAUGAUGAUGGAGUUCAAGAAGUCUAUGCAAGACGAGUUCGACAUGACUGAUCUUGGGAGGAUGAGGUAUUUCUUGGGCAUUGAGGUGCAUCAGAAGGUGAAUGGAAUUCACAUAUCUCAAGCCAAGUACGCUCAGGAGAUUCUCAAACGGUUCGACAUGGAGGAUUGCAAUUCAGUUACAAAUCCUAUGGUGCCUGGAGAGAAGCUUGACAUGGAUGCUGAAGGAGAAAGAAUAGACGAGACACUCUAUAAGCAAAUGAUUGGGAGUCUCAUGUACAUUACAACCACACGACCUGACCUGCAAUUCUCGGUGAACUUACUCAGUCGCUUCAUGUCAAAACCUACAAGACUCCACGCACAAGCUGUGAAGAAGGUACUGAGGUACUUAAAGGGGACAACAGACUUUGGUAUUUGGUACAAUGGAGGAGGAACAGGGG
RNAcentral lists this long non-coding RNA (5370 nucleotides) under Brassica napus (rape). RNAcentral's name for it is "long non-coding RNA (BNAP_LNC025845)". The record is from RNAcentral. Lineage: Eukaryota; Viridiplantae; Streptophyta; Magnoliopsida; Brassicales; Brassicaceae.